Taeniopygia guttata (zebra finch) is the source of this 1285-nucleotide long non-coding RNA. RefSeq lists it as uncharacterized. The record is from RefSeq and is a predicted model, not a curated record. NCBI's taxonomy places the organism in Eukaryota, Metazoa, Chordata, Aves, Passeriformes, Estrildidae.
UUUUUCCAAAUCUUUUCCUGAACUGGGGGGGGAUGGACCUCAUUCAGCGAUUUCCUCCCAAAAUUUACCUAAACCAGGAUAAAUAAAUAAUAUGAAGGUGUUAUUUAGUGGCUAUUCUUAAUGGAGUAAAAAAUAAUAAAAUUCUUCCAAAGCAAUGGAAGACUUAAAAAGAAAAAUCUCAUUCAAUGGGAAAAAACUUCCAAUUUUUUUCUUUUGCAAACAUUUGGGAUUAAAAUCAAAGAUGGUUAUACAUACCCAGACCUAAUAAUUCACAUCAUUUUUAUUUACCUUGACACUAUAGAGUUUUCUUCCUUAAUAUUUUGCAUAGCUCCAAAAAAGCAACCAGACAUUUUAUAUAUUUUAAGUUGUAUGUUGUCAUAAAAUAUAUAUUUUUUAGCUGCUACUUCUGCAGAGUGUUGACCUUGUUUUAAACAUCUCCUAUGUGUUGGAGAGUUUUUGUUAUCUUAUAGAAAAACAGCAAGUUCACAGGUUAUUUCAUGUGUUCCCAUACAGCCUUCCUCAGAUGCCAUACGGGGAGGCACAAUCAAUGUCAAUCCUAUGUACCACUGCAGUACUGCCAAGCAUCCCUACCAACAGCUCAUUACAGGAGGAAGUGCUGCUGCUCUGUCAGAUGGAGAGAAUACAUUAGCUGAAGUAUUUGAGGAAGUACAGAAGAUAUGAAUGUUGACUUUCAUGACAUCGAACAUUGUCUGGCAUAUGUUUGACAUGUGUGAUUAAGCAUCAGGAGGACUGGAACAGCAAUAAAGAAGAUCAGUGAAGUUUUAAUCAGAUCUAAAGUGCAUACUGAGGACAGGACAAGAUCAACGUGCUUCAAAGAGACUUUUGGGUUUUCUAAUAAGAGAUAAAAAGUGACUAUUUACACUUGCCUUAGACAAUAACAAAUUUUUGAUGAAAGAUAGGUGGGAUUUUUAGUUGUCGUCAGGGGUUUUUAUUUUGUUGUUUUGUUUUGGUGUUUGCUUACUAUUAUUACUAUUACUAUUACUAUUAUUGUUAUUGUUAUUGUUAUUGUUAUUGUUAUUGUUAUUGUUAUUGUUAUUGUUAUUGUUAUUGUUAUUGUUAUUGUUAUUGUUGUUAUUAUUAUAUUUUCCUAAGAUAAUGUUUCUAAAUAUGAAUCAGAUACAAAAAAUUAAAUACUGUUUUACAUAUGAAAACCUAGGUGAUAAAUAUGGAUAUAUAAUGGAAAAAUACAGGUGUUAUUGUAUCUAGUAGGGUAUCUAUGAAAUGCCAAUUGUGAAAAAAAAGAAAUAAAGUUUACAGUAUCUCA